Molecule: ribosomal RNA, 588 nt
Filed under: uncultured bacterium
Lineage: Bacteria
Description: bacterial SSU rRNA
Rfam family: Bacterial small subunit ribosomal RNA
Source: RNAcentral
CCUACGGGAGGCAGCAGUGGGGAAUUUUGGACAAUGGGGGCAACCCUGAUCCAGCCAUUCCGCGUGAGUGAAGAAGGCCUUCGGGUUGUAAAGCUCUUUCGCAAGGGAAGAAAACUUAUGAUCGAAUAAAUCAUGAGGUUGACGGUACCUUGAUAAGAAGCACCGGCUAACUACGUGCCAGCAGCCGCGGUAAUACGUAGGGUGCGAGCGUUAAUCGGAAUUACUGGGCGUAAAGCGUGCGCAGGCGGUUUUGUAAGUCGGAUGUGAAAUCCCCGGGCUCAACCUGGGAACUGCGUUCGAAACUGCAAGGCUAGAGUGUGUCAGAGGGGGGUAGAAUUCCACGUGUAGCAGUGAAAUGCGUAGAGAUGUGGAGGAAUACCAAUGGCGAAGGCAGCCCCCUGGGAUAACACUGACGCUCAUGCACGAAAGCGUGGGGAGCAAACAGGAUUAGAUACCCUGGUAGUCCACGCCCUAAACGAUGUCAACUAGUUGUUGGUAGAGUAAAAUCUAUGUAGUAACGUAGCUAACGCGUGAAGUUGACCGCCUGGGGAGUACGGUCGCAAGAUUAAAACUCAAAUGAAUUGACGG